This is a long non-coding RNA of Ruditapes philippinarum (Manila clam), 476 nucleotides long. RefSeq lists it as uncharacterized. NCBI's taxonomy places the organism in Eukaryota, Metazoa, Mollusca, Bivalvia, Venerida, Veneridae. The record is from RefSeq and is a predicted model, not a curated record. The transcript is spliced from 2 exons.
ACAGAAUUUACUUUUCUAGCCAGAAUUUCACUCUGAGUUAAUCUCAGAGUAGUAGAUAGAUAUUCUGUAAUAUCAGGUGUAACCCCCAUGUAACCCCUGUUGGUCAAUUCAAAUCUCUCAGACUGCCACACGAGGUUUUAUUACACAAAGUGUCUUCACAUUGGCAAAGAUUAAAACAUUAGCAAAGAUGAAUAUGUUUUGUUUAGUUUAUUUUUCUAAUGAUAAGUAAACAAGUUAGUUGUUGUGAAGAGCAAUCAUGUAGAGACUUGAAAUUCUCAGAUUUAGGGGCCAAAGAGGAAUUAUGAUGGAAUUAUAAUCAAAACCAGAGAUUAUGUCAGGAUGUGUGUGUGGUGCAAAGACAGAGACAAGCCAAUUCCUGAUGACAGCGCCCUCAACAAGGCUAUUACUCAUUGGAUAGACUACUCCAGGAAAGAAAUGAAUAAAAAUUGUUAAUUAAAAUUAAUAAAUAAGAAAUG